RNAcentral lists this ribosomal RNA (301 nucleotides) under uncultured bacterium. Its description in RNAcentral is "partial 16S ribosomal RNA". It matches the Rfam family "Bacterial small subunit ribosomal RNA", at positions 509 to 808 of the family's 1533-position model. The record is from RNAcentral.
CAGCAGCCACGGUAAUACGUAGGGUGCGAGCGUUAAUCGGAAUUACUGGGCGUAAAGCGUGCGCAGGCGGUUGUGUAAGACAGGUGUGAAAUCCCCGGGCUUAACCUGGGAACUGCGCUUGUGACUGCACAGCUAGAGUAUGGCAGAGGGGGGUGGAAUUCCACGUGUAGCAGUGAAAUGCGUAGAGAUGUGGAGGAACACCGAUGGCGAAGGCAGCCCCCUGGGCCAAUACUGACGCUCGUGCACGAAAGCGUGGGGAGCAAACAGGAUUAGAUACCCUGUAGUCCCUGUCUCUUAUACA